UCAAAAGAAGAACCCUAAAUAAUACACAAUAAAAUGAGAAAAAUAAAUCAACAGAACGUAUAUAACAAAUACAAAAAUGAGCUUGAGAUUCAACUACGGGAAAUAGAGAUGAUAGAUGAGGUUGUUGCAGUGUCGGUGCCAGUGGUGAUGGGAAAAUAGGAGAGAAGAAGGAAACAGGAUAGAUAAAGAGAGUAAGAGCAAGACAAAAGUAGGGUAGGGGUGGGGGAGGGGAGAGCUUACAUGGUCUGGUGGGGGGAGGGGAGGGAGCUUACCUUGUCUGGUUGUUGCCCCUGGUGAAUU
This 300-nucleotide long non-coding RNA is filed under the name Nicotiana benthamiana. Its description in RNAcentral is "long non-coding RNA (NBEN_LNC027750)". The record is from RNAcentral. Lineage: Eukaryota; Viridiplantae; Streptophyta; Magnoliopsida; Solanales; Solanaceae.